AAUAGAUACCCAGGUAGUCCACGCCGUAAACGAUGAGUGCUAAGUGUUAGAGGGUUUCCGCCCUUUAGUGCUGCAGCUAACGCAUUAAGCACUCCGCCUGGGGAGUACGGUCGCAAGACUGAAACUCAAAGGAAUUGACGGGGGCCCGCACAAGCGGUGGAGCAUGUGGUUUAAUUCGAAGCNAACGCGAAGAACCUUACCAGGUCUUGACAUCCCACUGACCGGUAUAGAGAUAUACCUUUCCCUUCGGGGACAGUGGUGACAGGUGGUGCAUGGUUGUCGUCAGCUCGUGUCGUGAGAUGUUGGGUUAAGUCCCGCAACGAGCGCAACCCUUGAUCUUAGUUGCCAGCAUUUAGUUGGGCACUCUAAGGUGACUGCCGGUGACAAACCGGAGGAAGGUGGGGAUGACGUCAAAUCAUCAUGCCCCUUAUGACCUGGGCUACACACGUGCUACAAUGGAUGGUACAAAGGGCUGCAAGACUGCGAAGUCAAGCCAAUCCCAUAAAACCAUUCUCAGUUCGGAUUGCG
Molecule: ribosomal RNA, 528 nt
Filed under: uncultured bacterium
Lineage: Bacteria
Description: bacterial SSU rRNA
Rfam family: Bacterial small subunit ribosomal RNA
Source: RNAcentral